Non-coding RNA from Dallia pectoralis (Alaska blackfish), 73 nucleotides. The record is from the annotation of a GenBank genome assembly. NCBI's taxonomy places the organism in Eukaryota, Metazoa, Chordata, Actinopteri, Esociformes, Umbridae.
UCCUGUAUUGCUUAAUCGGAAGAGCACUGCAGUCUCAAGGCAUCGCUUGUGGGUUUGAUUCCCACGGGGGGAG